Long non-coding RNA from Carassius carassius (crucian carp), 1210 nucleotides. RefSeq lists it as uncharacterized. The record is from RefSeq and is a predicted model, not a curated record. Lineage: Eukaryota; Metazoa; Chordata; Actinopteri; Cypriniformes; Cyprinidae. The transcript is spliced from 4 exons.
UGUUCAGAGAUUGUGUUCUCUGAUGGAUUGUACAGAAAAUGUAAUGUUAAUAAACCUAGUGUUAUUAAUUUGCAGUGUAUGUGUUUACUGCAUGUGUUUAUGAAUGUUCUUUUACCUUGAAAGUUAGAUGGGUGUUCACCCCAAGCAUCCUCUUGCUCAUUUUCAUUGGACAAGCUCACUGGAACAGCUGGAGUUAAGAAAGGUGAAGUUGAUGGGUGUUCUUCCCAAGUUUCCAGUUGGAGGUCUGCAUGAGAGAAGCUCUCUGUUAAAUGAGCUUAAUUGACAUUACAAAAGGUGAGUGUUCACCCCAAGCAUCUUGUGGCUCAUCUGCCUGGGAGAAGCUCAUGGGAACAUCUGGAGCUGAGAAUGAUGGAACUGUACUCAUGUAGAGCCUGUUACCUUGACAGCUGGGGAAAGUCUCAAAACGGGCCUGCUGUGGCUUCUCCAUGGCCCUUUGGUGGUGAUGAACAAGUGCUGUUGAAAGAAUUGAUAUGUAGAUGUUAUGUCUGCCUCCCAAAACAAGAUUUUGUACUACACAAAGCCUUACUAAAGCUUGAAAUUGCUAUCGCUUCUAAUUGGCAACCAAAUGUUUAUUAUUAAAUCAUCCUUAGUAUGUAAAUCCUCAAGUUAUGAAUGUAAUGAUAGUAGUUCUGUCCAAACUGUUAAAAUAGCAACAGAAUUGGGUAAGGCUGAAAAAGAAAAGUGAUGUAAACCAACAAGUCACGAGAGCCUGUGCUAUACAUUGAUCUUACCAUGGCUAAGGAACAUUCUUGAGCAUGGAACAAAACAUCCACAAAUAUCAGUUAUCUAAAUUUAAAACUCACAAUUGCUGAAAGAGUUCACUGCUUUGCUUGUUGUAAGCAGAGGUCGUACAACAGGACCUGAAAAAAAAUAGCACUCAGCAGUCACACACUAUUAUGUCUUAGUCAUUUAACUGUUUUAUUGUAUUUUUACCUUUUGUCUUGAUGUAAUUUAUAGGUGCUGGAGGAUUUGGUGCAGGCGGGACUUUUGGUGCGGGCUGGAUUUUUGGUGUAGGUGGAUUUUUGUCUCUAUUCAUUUUAAUUUUUUUGUUGGGGGUUUCAUGAAGCUCAUCAUCUGAUGAGAAUGUUUUCUUUCUAAGAGCAAAAUCAGGGAAUUAGAUUAUUUUACAAAAAUGGAUUAUAUAGGUAAUAAACUAGCAUGUUUGUCAAUUAAAAAAAAUCAAAAACAA